Molecule: ribosomal RNA, 484 nt
Filed under: uncultured bacterium
Lineage: Bacteria
Description: partial 16S ribosomal RNA
Rfam family: Bacterial small subunit ribosomal RNA
Source: RNAcentral
GAUGAACGCUGGCGGCGUGCUUAACACAUGCAAGUCGAACGAGAGAAGAUCGGUGCUUGCACUGAUCCGAUCGAGUGGCGGACGGGUGAGUAACGCGUGGGUAACCCGCCUCAUACAGGGGAAUAACAGUUGGAAACGGCUGCUAAAACCGCAUAAGCGCACAGUAUCGCAUGAUACAGUGUGAAAAACUACGGUGGUAUGAGAUGGACCCGCGUCUGAUUAGCUAGUUGGUGAGGUAACGGCGCACCAAGGCAACGAUCAGUAGCCGGCCUGAGAGGGUGAACUGCCACAUUGGGACUGAUACACGGCCCAAACUCCUACGGGAGGCAGCAGUGGGGAAUAUGGCACAAUGGGGGAAACCCUGAUGCAGCGACGCCGCGUGAGUGAUGAAGUAUUUCGGUAUGUAAAGCUCUAUCAGCAGGGAAGAUAAGGACGGUACCUGACUAAGAAGCACCGGCUAAAUACGUGCCAGCCGCCGCGGUAA